CCUUCAGAAUGAAGACCCAAAGAUGUCGGGGGGCUAUCUAGUUUUAUGCUUAGGUUCGAUGAAGCAGGGACAGCCACACGGAAAUGUGAUUGGACAAAAAGGGUAUGAUCUAACAAUAGACUGAGUUGGUGGGGAUGGGAUUCAGCAAGGCCUGUCUGUCUAGAUUCUUUGUUUCUUCUCUGACCAGGCAUGUCUUCCUUCCAACAGGGGGCAGGAUCUUUUCUGGAAUGGAGGUCUUAUGACCUAUGAUCAAACAAAGAAAUAUAGACUCACUAUGAGGGGGCCCGUGAACUCACUGCUCUUCCACGUAGCCACUGAGAUGUAUCCAUACAUGCAUGUGGCAACAAAGAAAAGGUUUUAGAUGUCUACAGUGUGUGGCCUGCAAAGAGAACAGCUUUACAUAAUUACAAAAGACAAGGAAGAUUGGUUUCAGAAAAGCCAAUGGUGGAAUAGACGAUUACACAUAAAAUUCUGGGCAAGAAGACAAUGACAAUAUCAAGAGAGAGAGAGCUCAAGAGAGCGAUACUAAGAACUCAUUCAGAAAUCAAGAAAACCCAAAUAGCAUUUAUCCAAGCAGAGAGCAGCUCUGCAGUGUUCUAUUAAGCAAAAGGAAGGCAGAUGUUCCAUCUUGUCCCUGUUGGGAAGGUUUUCAUUUGUAGCUGGGUGAUGUUUUUAAAUAAGACUUUCCUAAGUACUGCUUUGUAGAAGGAAAUCUAAUUUCACAACAGGCUAGAGGAGUUUUAGGCCACUCUGGUAGCUCUCAGA
Non-coding RNA from Microcebus murinus (gray mouse lemur), 765 nucleotides. The record is from RefSeq and is a predicted model, not a curated record. NCBI's taxonomy places the organism in Eukaryota, Metazoa, Chordata, Mammalia, Primates, Cheirogaleidae.